GAAAAAAUUAGUAGCAUGCAACUUAAUGUAGGACAUGUUUUUUUCAACAGGUUUUAGUUGAUUACUGAUUAAACUGUUCUCCACUCCUAUACAACGAAUUAUAUAACUUGUUCGUAGAUGAUUAAUUUGAAUCAUAAACAAUAAAUAGUUAUUAGUUAUUAUGUCUAACAAACUUGAUCUAAUCAAUGAAUUUAUUCAAAUAAUUGUCAACAUUUCUUAGUUUUUUUUGUUAAUGGAAUACCUUUGUCUUUUGGAUUAUAGUUCUAGUAUCAUUUAUCGGGGGAAAAAGUACGUGACAGUGAAAAAGUAUUAGAAAAACAUAAUGAAGAGUUGCAAAGCAUACACGAUGAUAGAUAGUGUGAACAAACAGGCUGUAGGACGUCGACAUGUAAUGUUUAAAAUUUAGGCCACAUAUUACGCAAAUCACCGUACAUACGGCGCCACGUAUGUUGGUAGGGAGCUUCUAAUUACCACUAAAUUAAUUUGACAUUCUUAACAAAGAAACAUAAUAUAUUAGAUCAACUGAACUAGUAAACUCUUAAUUUGUUCUCUUAACUUUUAAUUAUACGAAUUACGAUUAAUUGAGAAUUCUAGUCCCCGGCGGCAUGUCUUAAGAGAAUGAAAAAAUUAAAAUUUAUUCAAUCGAGAAACGAGAAUUCAGAUAUGAUUACAAGUUCUAUUUGAACAAAAAAUUUCAAGUCAAUCUAUUACAUUUAUAGCUUUACUCCUCUAUUAAAUCCGACAAGUUCUGACAAUCUAUACUAUAUUAAAAGUAAGAUAUUCUCAUUAUAUAACCAUGCCACGUAUGCAAAUAAAUUCAAACCAAUAAGAGAACACGAUUUUGACACGUCAUCUAUAAACAUUAAAAAUCAGACCUAAUCGUUGGGCCUUACAAUAUUUCUACUGAAUCAUUUAGGUUAAAACCCACAAUAUUGACCUACCACUUUCCUAUCUCCUUCGUUGUUUCAAUCUCUUUCAUCCGUAACACUGCAGAUUUCCGUUUACGUUUCACUUCCAUUCACUCCUCCUCAUUCAAUUUCAUCCUUCAAUCAUAUCUUCAUGAGAGAACCAAUAUCCUUUCACCUCCCUUUGUUUCUCCUGUUAUAUAGAUCUCUUUCUCCUCGAAUCUCACUUCGAUCCACUUUCUACGACCUCAUUCAUCUAAUGGUGCUCCACGAUAUGAGCCUCAACUCAAACCAGGCAGUAGUUGGGAAGCUCUCAGAAAAUGGUGAUUUCACAGUCCACAUAUCAGAUUUCUCAUAGGUUUGCUCUAAGAUUGAUUUUAUUAAAUUAACAAGAUAUGGUUGAUCACUGAGAUCAGUGCAUUUGCUGACUUUCUUACACUGUCUGUCUCUUUUAUCUCCUGAAGACUGUAAAACCAGUUCUAUGUUAAUAUGGUCUCCGCUUCUUUUGUUCAAUCGGCACACUCACCCAUGUUUAUGAUUUUUAGCAGGAUUCAACGAACCUGUAAACGACAGUGAUUUGCUGUAAAAGUUAAAGAUUAUGCCCGUGUGGGAGAGUCGGCCAGGCGAAGAGAUGUUUGAACUGCCAAAGCAACAUGAAAAGUGUACUAUUCACUACACCAAAGUGGUUGUAUAUUUAGGUGGUAAUAGGUACAGAAGAUGGUGGCAAAAGAAAAAAGAAUCUACAUAUUUUACUUGAGUACGUAACUAGGAGAAGCUUUCAUAUGGGUAUGGGAGUUUGAAUUGAUCAGUCAAAGUAUAUGUGGUCAUAUACGGUGGUGUUAUAUAGUGAUUUUGGUUACGAAUAUAUAACAAUCAUCAUUCCUUCCAAGUGCUUAGUGGCUGAAACAGAGUGGGGUUACAUACCUGUGGUGUCCAUAAGAUGACAAUUGGAUAGGAAACUUGGGACAUGUAAUGGUCUUUGAGAUAUUCAAGAAUAAAAAGCAUAAAUGCAUUAAUUAAUUUACAAAGUUGUGAUAGAAUGUGUGAUUGAUUUAAUAGUUUUUUGGCGCUUUGAUAAUGUUUUCUGGUUUUAUUAUUGAGCUAAAGAAAUAAAAACCAAUACGCAGAAAAUGAAUAUCAUGCUAAUAGGUGAUAAAAACGAUUAGUUUAUUUUAAUAAAUUUAUAACAAGAGACAAGUGUAACUAUGAAAAACUCUAUACUGAUAAAGUAAGUGUAGGAACCGACCAAUGUCUAAGGUACAGUCUUGAAAUUUAUAGAUAUUGCAAAUAGUUAGUGAAAUCAACUGCGAAGCUGUUGUAAGCUAUACAAAUCAAACAAACAAAGAUACACGAAACACAUUGUGACAUAAAGAAAAAAAAUAGUCAAAGAAGAGAAGAAAUCCAUCUACAAUUCUCACUCUGUCAAAUCCAUGUCUUACCUUCUCGCAUGAUCAUGAUUAUUGCAUUGUCUCCUAGCGGCACCGAUUAUAACUUAGAUUAUGUAUUGCUAUGUUAAUAGACAACUACAUGUAAAUCAUUAGAAAUAAAAAUUAAAAAAAAAACAAAAAAAAUAAUUAAAAACAAAAAAAAAA
Molecule: long non-coding RNA, 2497 nt
Organism: Brassica rapa (field mustard)
Lineage: Eukaryota; Viridiplantae; Streptophyta; Magnoliopsida; Brassicales; Brassicaceae
Source: RefSeq, a predicted model, not a curated record